CAGCCGCCGCGGUAAUACGUAGGGUGCGAGCGUUAAUCGGAUUUACUGGGCGUAAAGCGUGCGCAGGCGGCCCGUUAAGACAGGUGUGAAAUCCCUGGGCUCAACCUAGGAAUUGCGCUUGUGACUGGCGGGCUCGAGUACGGUAGAGGGGGGUGGAAUUCCUGGUGUAGCAGUGAAAUGCGUAGAGAUCAGGAGGAACACCGAUGGCGAAGGCAGCCCCCUGGGCCUGUACUGACGCUCAUGCACGAAAGCGGGGGGAGCAAACAGGAUUAGAUGCCCUGGUAGUCCACGCCCUAAACGAUGGGUACUAGCCGUUUGGUGCGCGAUAGCGCUGAGUGGCGAAGCUAACGCGUGAAGUACCCCGCCUGGGGAGUACGGCCGCAAGGUUGAAACUUAAAGGAAUUGGCGGG
Molecule: ribosomal RNA, 410 nt
Filed under: uncultured microorganism
Description: bacterial SSU rRNA
Rfam family: Bacterial small subunit ribosomal RNA
Source: RNAcentral